GUCGAGGGGCAGCAUGGUCUUAGCUUGCUAAGGCCCGAUGGCGACCGGCGCACGGGUGAGUAACACGUAUCCAACCUGCCGUCUACUCUUGGACAGCCUUCUGAAAGGAAGAUUAAUACAAGAUGGCAUCAUGAGUCCGCAUGUUCACAUGAUUAAAGGUAUUCCGGUAGACGAUGGGGAUGCGUUCCAUUAGAUAGUAGGCGGGGUAACGGCCCACCUAGUCUUCGAUGGAUAGGGGUUCUGAGAGGAAGGUCCCCCACAUUGGAACUGAGACACGGUCCAAACUCCUACGGGAGGCAGCAGUGAGGAAUAUUGGUCAAUGGGCGCAGGCCUGAACCAGCCAAGUAGCGUGAAGGAUGACUGCCCUAUGGGUUGUAAACUUCUUUUAUAAAGGAAUAAAGUCGGGUAUGUAUACCCGUUUGCAUGUACUUUAUGAAUAAGGAUCGGCUAACUCCGUGCCAGCAGCCGCGGUAAUACGGAGGAUCCGAGCGUUAUCCGGAUUUAUUGGGUUUAAAGGGAGCGUAGAUGGAUGUUUAAGUCAGUUGUGAAAGUUUGCGGCUCAACCGUAAAAUUGCAGUUGAUACUGGAUAUCUUGAGUGCAGUUGAGGCAGGCGGAAUUCGUGGUGUAGCGGUGAAAUGCUUAGAUAUCACGAAGAACUCCGAUUGCGAA
This 670-nucleotide ribosomal RNA is filed under the name uncultured Bacteroidales bacterium. RNAcentral's name for it is "bacterial SSU rRNA". It matches the Rfam family "Bacterial small subunit ribosomal RNA", at positions 61 to 719 of the family's 1533-position model. Lineage: Bacteria; Pseudomonadati; Bacteroidota; Bacteroidia; Bacteroidales. The record is from RNAcentral.